GUUUCUAAUAAGUGACCGUGACCCACAGUGCAACCUCCACUGCUCCAGGACUCAACCCAAACCCAUCUGUGCCUCUGAUGGCAGGUCCUAUGAGUCCAUGUGUGAGUACCAGCGAGCCAAGUGCCGAGACCCGACCCUGGGCGUGGUGCAUCGAGGUAGAUGCAAAGAUGCUGGCCAGAGCAAGUGUCGCCUGGAGCGGGCUCAAGCCCUGGAGCAAGCCAAGAAGCCUCAAGAAGCUGUGUUUGUCCCAGAGUGUGGCGAGGAUGGCUCCUUUACCCAGGUGCAGUGCCAUACUUACACUGGGUACUGCUGGUGUGUCACCCCGGAUGGGAAGCCCAUCAGUGGCUCUUCUGUGCAGAAUAAAACUCCUGUAUGUUCAGGUUCAGUCACCGACAAGCCCUUGAGCCAGGGUAACUCAGGAAGGAAAGGUGAGUGGAGUUUUAUGCUUUAUCUAAAUGUUUGCUUCCAAAGGUGGUCCAAGCAGGAUUUCUUAGAUGAGAUAGAAGGAGCCUGGGGUGAAAGCCUAAGGUGUCCCGCAGAACAUCUUCUCC
This 551-nucleotide small RNA is filed under the name Pan troglodytes (chimpanzee). Its description in RNAcentral is "retained intron". The record is from RNAcentral. Lineage: Eukaryota; Metazoa; Chordata; Mammalia; Primates; Hominidae.